CCUACGGGUGGCUGCAGUAGGGAAUCUUCCACAAUGGACGAAAGCCUGAUGGAGCAAAGCCGCGUGAGUGAUGAAGGGUUUAUGCUCGUAAAGCUCCGUUGGUAGUGAAGAAAGAUAGAGGUAGUAACUGGCCUUGAUUUGACGGUAAUUACUUAGAAAGUCACGGCUAACUACGUGCCAGCAGCCGCGGUAAUACGUAGGUGGCAAGCGUUGUCCGGAUUUAUUGGGCGUAAAGGGAGUGCAGGCGGUUCAAUAAGUCUGAUGUGAAAGACUUCGGCUCAACCGGAGAAUUGCAUCAGAAACUGGUGAACUUGAGUGCAGAAGAGGUAAGUGGAACGCCAGGUGUAGCGGUGAAAUGCGUAGAUAUAUGGAAGAACACCGAUGGCGAAGGCAGCUCACUGGGCUGCAACUGACGCUGAAGCUCGAAAGCAUGGGUAGCGAACAGGAUUAGAUACCCUGGUAGUC
RNAcentral lists this ribosomal RNA (465 nucleotides) under uncultured bacterium. Its description in RNAcentral is "partial 16S ribosomal RNA". It matches the Rfam family "Bacterial small subunit ribosomal RNA", at positions 338 to 795 of the family's 1533-position model. The record is from RNAcentral.